UGGCCUACCAGUUCAACCCACAGCUGGUCCUGGUCACUGACAGCCUUGAUGCUGGUGCGGGGACCCACUUGGAGGUUGCUGCGUGAGUCCCGAUUGCUUUGGACAUAUGAUGGCCCUUCUGUCUGGCCUGGCCAAGGGCCGCAUGGUUCUGGCACUGGAGGGCGGCUUCAACCUCACCACCAUCAGCUGCUGCAUGACGCUGUGUGCCAAGGCCUUGCUGGGGGACCCGCUGCCCCCCCCUUGAGCCCCAGCUGGUGCCCAACAAGAGUGCCGUGCAGACCAUCAAUGACGUCAUCCGUACCCACAGCCGCUACUGGCUGGCGCUCUGCUUCACGAAAGAAGAAGAAGAAAAGAAGAGAAGGAGAGGGUAUAUGUCUGUGUGUGUGUUAUAUGGACAAAAUUUAAACUGAUUUCUUUCAACAUAUAUUUUAUUAUUAUUAUUGAAAGACAAACUUUUCUUCUUCACUUCCUCCUUCUUCUUCUUCUCUUUCAUCUUCUUCUUCUUCAUC
Eriocheir sinensis (Chinese mitten crab) is the source of this 509-nucleotide long non-coding RNA. RefSeq lists it as uncharacterized. The record is from RefSeq and is a predicted model, not a curated record. Lineage: Eukaryota; Metazoa; Arthropoda; Malacostraca; Decapoda; Varunidae. The transcript is spliced from 3 exons.